This 253-nucleotide ribosomal RNA is filed under the name uncultured bacterium. RNAcentral's name for it is "partial 16S ribosomal RNA". It matches the Rfam family "Bacterial small subunit ribosomal RNA", at positions 524 to 776 of the family's 1533-position model. The record is from RNAcentral.
UACGUAGGGGGCGAGCGUUGUCCGGAAUUACUGGGCGUAAAGGGCGCGUAGGCGGCCCGUUAAGUCCGUUGUGAAAGACCGAGGCUCAACCUCGGGGUGUCAACGGAGACUGAUGGGCUGGAGUAUCGGAGAGGAGCGGGGAAUCCCUGGUGUAGCGGUGGAAUGCGUAGAGAUCAGGGGGAACACCGAUGGCGAAGGCACCGCUCUGGCCGAAAACUGACGCUGAGGCGCGAAAGCUGGGGGAGCGAACGGG